This 253-nucleotide ribosomal RNA is filed under the name uncultured bacterium. Its description in RNAcentral is "partial 16S ribosomal RNA". It matches the Rfam family "Bacterial small subunit ribosomal RNA", at positions 524 to 776 of the family's 1533-position model. The record is from RNAcentral.
UACAGAGGGGGCAAGCGUUGUUCGGAAUUACUGGGCGUAAAGGGCGCGUAGGCGGCCCGCUAAGUCGAACGUGAAAUCCCCGGGCUCAACCCGGGAACUGCGUCCGAUACUGGUGGGCUCGAAUCCGGGAGAGGGAUGCGGAAUUCCCGGUGUAGUGGUGAAAUGCGUAGAUAUCGGGAGGAACACCAGUGGCGAAGGCGACUUCCUGGCCUGUUCUUGACGCUGAGGCGCGAAAGCUAGGGGAGCAAACGGG